GAACUUAUGAUUCUUAUUUAAUCAUACUUUAUUUAUAAGGUUGUAACAACUUUUUGUUAUCAUGGUAAUAAUAAAUAAGUUUUAAGCAUAUAUACAAAUUUUACAUCAACAACUGUUGUGUAUACAAUGUACAUAUAAAUUGAUGUAAACCUUUGAACAUUUUGGAUCAUAGGUUGCAGUCAACGUUUUUUUUUAAGCUUUCAUGUCCAGAACAAAAUGCCCCAAAUCUACAGAAUAGUAAAAAAUUAGCUUUUGAAAUGGAUCUAUAUAUAAACCUUAUAAAGGCCUUUUUGAUAACUUAUGAUACAUUUGUAAUUCAAAGCCAUGUUUUGAUUAAAGUGAACCAUGCCCUCUUUACAACCUAAGAUAUAUGAUCGACAUAUAUAUAUAUAAUUAUUCCAUAAAACAAAGAAAGGAAUCAUAACCAUUUUUCAAUAAUAAAUAGUGGAAUUUUCAGGAAUAAGAAAAUAUGUAAUUAACUAAAUUAUAUGUGCAAUAUUAACAAUGUGCAAUAGUUGAUAAGAAAAAUAUAGAUGUAAAAAUAUUCAACCAUGUUUAGUAAUAUACAGGGCCAUUCUAUAUAUUUGACCUUUUGAACUAUCGAAUAAAACCUCUUGUAAAUCCAAUAAUACAAGUCAUGGCUCAAAUCUAUCCUUUGUAAAAGGUUCAACAAUUGACAUUAUUUAAACAAAAAAAGUUUAUGGCCUGAGUGUUAUGGGGUAAACAAAUUAACAAAUGAUAUUCUACAAAUAUGGAAUUCUGUACAAAAAUAUAAAAUAAUUGUUAAGUCACAAGUUCAGCACCAAUUUUCUGGAUAUGUUCAUUUCACAACUUUAACACAAAAUUGUUAACACUUGCACAGAUACGUAUGACAAACAGUCACAUGCAUACUAUCAGAAUAAAAGGUCAGAAAAACAGCCAAUAUAAUAGGUUAACUGAACAACAUCAAAAAUGUAAAAUAAGAUUGAAAUAUACUUUAUGUUUAUGUGUCGACCCAAUAUACAAUUGUCAACAUAUUGUGAAACAAAAGAAAAUAAUUUGUUCCUUUGCAUUGCUUUCAAUAUGUCAUGUCAAUAUAUACAUCUGUUUAACUUGUGUAAGGAAAGACAAAUCAGGCUGUGGCAAU
This 1126-nucleotide long non-coding RNA is filed under the name Mytilus galloprovincialis (Mediterranean mussel). Lineage: Eukaryota; Metazoa; Mollusca; Bivalvia; Mytilida; Mytilidae. The record is from RNAcentral.